UCUGCCGGCCGCGGCAAAGCCUAACGAGCAGCCGGGAACCGGUCUUGCGUAACGUCCGGUAACGGCCGCUACGAAGCGUAGACAGGGAGGUUGUAGGCCGGAAUCAAGUGAACGGGAGGAUAGCCCCAAAAUCGAACGUGAUCGGAGUAGCCGACCCUGUCUCUCAAAGGGGAAGGCGGAAUCGCAAGCCGCGUCAUCGCGACCGGGCUGAGGUGCUCCCGGGGUUCGUACCG
Molecule: non-coding RNA, 233 nt
Filed under: Bradyrhizobium sacchari
Lineage: Bacteria; Pseudomonadati; Pseudomonadota; Alphaproteobacteria; Hyphomicrobiales; Nitrobacteraceae
Source: RNAcentral